UCUAUGUUUAAAGAUGCACAUGAG
RNAcentral lists this non-coding RNA (24 nucleotides) under Arabidopsis thaliana (thale cress). The record is from RNAcentral. Lineage: Eukaryota; Viridiplantae; Streptophyta; Magnoliopsida; Brassicales; Brassicaceae.